RNAcentral lists this ribosomal RNA (369 nucleotides) under uncultured bacterium. Its description in RNAcentral is "bacterial SSU rRNA". It matches the Rfam family "Bacterial small subunit ribosomal RNA", at positions 525 to 896 of the family's 1533-position model. The record is from RNAcentral.
ACGGAGGAUGCAAGCGUUAUCCGGAUUCAUUGGGUUUAAAGGGUGCGCAGGCGGAAUUAUAAGUCAGUGGUGAAAGCCUACAGCUUAACUGUAGAACUGCCAUUGAUACUGUCAUUCUUGAGUGUUGUUGAGGUAGGCGGAAUGUGUCAUGUAGCGGUGAAAUGCUUAGAUAUGACACAGAACACCGAUCGCGAAGGCAGCUUACCAAGCAACAACUGACGCUCAUGCACGAAAGCGUGGGGAUCAAACAGGAUUAGAUACCCUGGUAGUCCACGCCGUAAACGAUGAUCACUCGAUGUUGGCGAUACACAGUCAGCGUCUUAGGGAAACUAUUAAGUGAUCCACCUGGGGAGUACGGUCGCAAGAUUG